RNAcentral lists this ribosomal RNA (506 nucleotides) under uncultured bacterium. Its description in RNAcentral is "partial 16S ribosomal RNA". It matches the Rfam family "Bacterial small subunit ribosomal RNA", at positions 30 to 523 of the family's 1533-position model. The record is from RNAcentral.
AUUGAACGCUGGCGGCAGGCCUAACACAUGCAAGUCGAACGGUAACAGGAAACAGCUUGCUGUUUCGCUGACGAGUGGCGGACGGGUGAGUAAUGUCUGGGAAACUGCCUGAUGGAGGGGGAUAACUACUGGAAACGGUAGCUAAUACCGCAUAACGUCGCAAGACCAAAGAGGGGGACCUCCGGGCCUCUUGCCAUCGGAUGUGCCCAGAUGGGAUUAGCUUGUUGGUGGGGUAACGGCUCACCAAGGCGACGAUCCCUAGCUGGUCUGAGAGGAUGACCAGCCACACUGGAACUGAGACACGGUCCAGACUCCUACGGGAGGCAGCAGUGGGGAAUAUUGCACAAUGGGCGCAAGCCUGAUGCAGCCAUGCCGCGUGUAUGAAGAAGGCCCUCGGGUUGUAAAGUACUUUCAGCGGGGAGGAAGGGAGUAAAGUUAAUACCUUUACUCAUUGACGUUACCCGCAGAAGAAGCACCGGCUAACUCCGUGCCAGCAGCCGCAGUAA